Molecule: long non-coding RNA, 3813 nt
Organism: Oncorhynchus nerka (sockeye salmon)
Lineage: Eukaryota; Metazoa; Chordata; Actinopteri; Salmoniformes; Salmonidae
Exons: 2
Source: RefSeq, a predicted model, not a curated record
GUUGGAUCCUGUAUUUUACAUUAUAGCCAUUACCAUAUAUAUGAUUGAAUAUUAUCUGCUGUUGGCUUAUGUGGAUGUAUGUAUGUGUUAUGCAACAUAGCUGACUUGAAACAUUGUUAAAAGUAUCAGGGCCAUGGGACUUUCUCAUGAUGGAAAAAUACAGAGAAGCAUGAAGACAGGAACUGUUCAAAUUAGUUGGGAGGGGGGCACAUUCAGAGCGGGGUGUUGCGAGAACAAGCGGUCUUUUGUUAGAUAACAGGAGCCAGGUGCGAGAUAACUGUAUGGAGCAUGAGAGCCUGGAUGUUCUUCACAAGCAAGUUACAUCUAUCAACAGAAGCGCCAAGAGGCGGGGACCCGCCUGAGCGCCUGCAAUAGGCUGAGCAAGUUUAAACCACGCCCAGUCUCUACUGUGAUAGGCCAACAGACGGGUUGGAACUGUCUAUCACAGUAUAAAGAAUACUGUUUUACCCUGUUCUGCCCUGCGUGGUAUUACAGUGAGCCCGUAUAUACGAAAGUUGCAUUUGCCAUUUAUUACUUAGCUAAUAAAAAAUACAUAGUAUAAAAUCGGUGACUCAUUGAUAUAUUUAUCCUGAUACCAGAUUCGAAUUUACGCAACCCUAACAAUUUGGUGACCCCGACGUGAUCUGGUAGUAGGACGACGCUGCCGAUUGGCCAGUACUGUCGUCGGACAGUGUGUCUCACAAAUCCUGACCGGUCAACUAAAAGAGUGAACUACAGGUGAAGUCACUCAAUCCAGUCCCAGAGGCUUGUUGGGGGGACCAUACCAAGGACUCCUGGUGACAGCUAGCUGAAAGAACUACCCGGAUUCAUAUCACACGGCGGGAGGGUAAGACACAAUGACACUAUCGAACAAUAAACAGUGUUCGAAAGGAGAACUGGAAUUAACAGAAUUCCGGGGGCCAUCUCUCGAAUGAAGUAACCCUCCCUGUCCUGUCACCCCUGUUUUUGUUCAUAGAAGUGAAGAUGUGUCUGGCUCUUGCUAAGUGAUGUGUUCUCGGGGAAAGGGUGGGGCUUCACAUGGAAGCUGUUCGUCUGAGCUGUCUUAUCGUGGGUGACAUAUUCCUGAUACAGCAUGUCCUACUUGAGUAUGCGGAGAGUGGUAAUUUGACCCAUGGUUUAGACGAUGAGGAUUUUGUUCCAAAAUAAGCAUAAGAGAUCCCUAGAUCUGGGUAGACAGGAAGUUAGAGUAGAGGUUGGGAAGGAUCUCUCAAUGGAGUUUUAUGUAGACCAAAAUGGAGUCUCUAACUACAUGGCAGUCUAGGACACUGAGCCAUUAUGGCAUAUAUCGGUGCAGGUUCCCAUAUUGAUCGUGGACACAGGUCAUAGCUCAUUUGGAGAGAGAAGGCUAUAUGAAUCCACUCACCCAGUAUGGAAGGACAAAGUAUACAUUGAUAACAUUGGGGUUCCACGGACAUGGACUGGAUUAAUUAUAUUUAUUAUAAUCAACAGCGCUUUAACAAUUAUACCAGAGAUGCUAUUAAAGGUUUUGCAGAACAGACUGAAGCAACCAGCCUGGUGGCUUGGCAGAAUAGAAUUGCAUUAGAUAUGUUAUUGGCUGAAAAGGGAGAAGUAUGUGUGAUUAUCGGGACCAUGUUUGCUUACAUCCCAAAUAGCACAGCUCCGGACGAUUCAGUGCCCGAAGCCUCAGCUGGUUUGACCACCCUGGCUCACGGUUUGGCAGAAAACUCUGGGGUGGAUACUUCUCUGACUAAUAUAAUUUGAUAGCAUGUUCGGAAAAUGGAAAAAAUAUUAUGAUCACUGUAUUAUGGGCUACAUUCACCUGUGUGACUGUUUUAGUUUUAUGGGGCUAAUUCCCUGUGUAUGAGGCCUUAUUUCCAGGACUCUGGAGAAAUCGAUGGGAAUAGAUGGUGAUGUACCAGCGGAUUCCAGGUUCUGAACCGUGGAGUGCUGAAUGUAUGUCUACAGAACAAGUGGACGAAAAGGACCGGGACAGACACGAUGGGUGUGUUUUCUAUUAAGGUGCUGCCAAAACCAGAGGUCCCAGAUGAAACAUUCCAUCCCAUUGGAGACAUAGACGUAGUGCUCCAUGGACAGAUGAUGUAGUUGACAUACACACUAACCUGUUGGGAGUGCCAGUGGGGGUUCCUCAUGAGUUUCAGGCCCUGGGUAGGAAUGAUGGACUCUGGCACUUACUACCUAUUAUAGGUCCAGCCAUAGUGGAUGCUAGACAGACUGCAUGGAUUAAUUAUAUCUACUAUAAUCAACAGCGUUUUGUGAAUUACUCCCGUGAUGCACUCACUGGUAUGUCUGAACAGCUUGAGGCCACAUCUAGGGUUGCCAGACAGAAUAUACUUGCUUUGGAUAUGCUUCUUGCCAGUCAGGGGGGCGUCUGCAAGAUGUUCGGUGAACAAUGUUGCACGUAUAUUCCUAAUAACACCACUCCAGAUGGUAGUAUAUCUAAGGCCCUUAAUGGGCUUGAUGCACUAUCUGCUGAGAUGAGGACCAUGGCGGGGGUGGAGGAGUCGGGACUGUUCUCUUGGUUGGGAGCCUGGUUUGGUAAGUACACUGGUAUGGUGGUUACUGGAUUUCUGACCCUAAUUCUUGUAUUUUUGUUAUUGCUUAUGUGUUGUGCUGCUUGCAUCAUACCGUGUUUUAAGAAGUCUGUUACAGAUAUGGUGAAGGCUUCAGGCAUGAUGAUGCCUUUGCUUGAUGCUCCAGUUGGAGAUGCUGAUACUGAAUCAUGCUUUCAGGGGAGGAUGAGACUGACUGAGGAUGACCCAUGGUAUGCUGUGGGUGAGGUAGUAGAAUCAAUUUUACACCACCACAGUUCCUUGUUAUACAUUUUUUAUGAUAGGUUUUCUUUCCAGUAUGUUUGUUCUCCCUGUUGUGAAGGUUUCGAGUCCCUGGGUGGCAUGGUGCCCACCUGGUACAGGAUAGGAGUAGCUGAGAGGACCAGAUGGUUUAUAAUAAUGCUUUGCUCUGUUUUCCAUGAUAAAACCAAAGUUUUAUCAUGUCAAUAAACAAUAAAGUCUUAUCCUGUUUUUGUCAACAGGGGGAGACAUAAGCAUAUAUCACUUGAUUUUUAUUUUUUCUUGGUUGAUUUUUAUUUUCUGUUUUUCUGUAAAAAAUAAAUAAAAAUAAAAAUAAUAAUAAUUAUGUUUUAUUAAUAAUAAACUUUUUGUUAUUUUAAUGAAAUGCUAUUAACACAUUACUAUGUUGGGACUGAUGAAAUAAGGGUAAUGAGUGACACCCUGGCGGGUGUCAACAGGGGGAUUGUUGGAUAGCCAUUAUAGCUAUUACCAUAUAUAUGAUUGAAUAUUAUCUGCUGUUGGCUUAUGUGGAUGUAUGUAUGUGUUAUGCAACAUAGCUGACUUGAAACAUUGUUAAAAGUAUCAGGGCCAUGGGACUUUCUCAUGAUGGAAAAAUACAGAGAAGCAUGAAGACAGGAACUGUUCAAAUUAGUUGGGAGGGGGGCACAUUCAGAGCGGGGUGUUGCGAGAACAAGCGGUCUUUUGUUAGAUAACAGGAGCCAGGUGCGAGAUAACUGUAUGGAGCAUGAGAGCCUGGAUGUUCUUCACAAGCAAGUUACAUCUAUCAACAGAAGCGCCAAGAGGCGGGGACCCGCCUGAGCGCCUGCAAUAGGCUGAGCAAGUUUAAACCACGCCCAGUCUCUACUGUGAUAGGCCAACAGACGGGUUGGAACUGUCUAUCACAGUAUAAAGAAUACUGUUUUACCCUGUUCUGCCCUGCGUGGUAUUACAGUGAGCCCGUAUAUACGAAAGUUGCAUUUGCCAUUUAUUACUUAGCUAAUAAAAAAUACAUAGUAUAAAA